Molecule: long non-coding RNA, 455 nt
Organism: Carassius gibelio (silver crucian carp)
Lineage: Eukaryota; Metazoa; Chordata; Actinopteri; Cypriniformes; Cyprinidae
Exons: 4
Source: RefSeq, a predicted model, not a curated record
GCGCCGCAUGAAGUCGAACACACCUAGAGAGAUCGGAAGAUUGCUCCUUGGAUUUUAACGAAGGUCAAGGGUCAUAGCAAGCGCGAUCGCCCCAGUGCAUUCCAUGUUGGUGAAUGCUGACACGUGUACACGUGAACUUUGUUGCAGUCAGUGGGACCACUGAGAACAGCAUUUUCAAGAGCGCAGGCAUUCAAGCAAAUGUUCAAGUACAUAGAGCCUAAAAAGCGUACCCCUGACAGUUACGAUUCUGCUGUUUGUGAUCUACAAACUGAAGACAUUCAGGACUAUAAAGGCAUAAAGAAAUGACUGACUCAGAAAGGACAUUUCUACACACCACCAUCACUGACAUCUUGCCUGACCUUCCAGAGGUGACCAAACAUAUUUUAGAAGAUACCUUGCAGUCUCUUGGUGUGGAGACAAGGGAUGACUUUAGGUUUAUUGAAGAAGCUGAUUUG